ACCCGCUGAAUUUAAGCAUAUAAGUAAGCGGAGGGCGAGAAACUAAAUAGGAUUCCCACAGUAAUGGCGAAUGAACGUGGAGGAGCUCAGCAUGAGAAUUGUGGCCUUCGGCCUUGAAUUGUAAUCUGAAGAUGUGUUGGCCAACGGAGUCGCAGGCGCAAGCCUCUUGGAAAAGGGCACCGUUGAGGGUGAAGGUCCCGUUCGUCCCUUGCACGCUACCGUGUACGGCGCACAUUCAAAGAGUCACGUUCCUUGGGAUUGGAGCGCAAAUUGGGUGGUAAAUUUCAUCUAAAGCUAAAUAUGGACUCGAAACCGAUAGCAAACAAGUACCAUGAGGGAAAGAUGAAAAGGACUUUGAAAAGAGAGUUAAAAGUGCCUGAACUCGCUGCAGGGAAAGCGGAUGGAACCAGCUUUGCUUGGCAAGAUUGUUGUCGACCCGUCUCGUGUGCGAGGGGGAGCGUUGAAUGCCAGGUCGUGACCCGAAUGUUAGACGUGGGUCGCGAUGUUUCUUGCCUUGUGUGUCACAAACGGUUUGCGAUUGAAGACGACCUCUCGGGACACGGAAGCUCGCCCCUGGGUGUGCGAACGUACCGUGCUUUUCCUUCUUUUAGACCGACCGCUGGCCCAGCCGUGGGCGGAAGUCAGCGCACGCUGUGCUCAAAUGGCGUGCGCGCGUGUUCUCGUCACGAGGACUGCUAGCUUCCGCUCCGACCCUCGGUGCUUUAGCUUUUGUGACUAAUGGUUCUCUUCGACCCGUCUUGAAACACGGACCAAGGAGUCUAACAUAUGUGCGAGGUCUUUCGCUGAGAACGGUGAAAAAAUGGCGCAAUGAAAGUGAGUGCUGAGAACCAGUAGAGAAACAUCAGCAGCCGACCGAUCACUUGGGAGAGGUUUGAGCAUGAGCACAUGUGUUAGGACCCGAAAGAUGGUGAACUAUGCCUGGGAAGGGUGAAGUCUGCGGAAACGCAGAUGGAGGCCCGUAGCGAUACUGACGUGCAAAUCGUUCGUCAUACUUGGGUAUAGGGGCGAAAGACUAAUCGAACCAUCUAGUAGCUGGUUCCCUCCGAAGUUUCCCUCAGGAUAGCUGGAGUUGAACAGUUUUUUCAGGUAAAGCGAAUGACUAGAGGAAUCGGGGGCGUGCUGUCCUCGACCUAUUCUCAAACUUUAAAUGGGUAAGGUGCAGUGGUUACUUUGCUGAACCUCUGCGUGGAAUUGCGACUCCAAGUGGGCCAUUUUUGGUAAGCAGAACUGGCGACGAGGGAUGAACCUAACGUUGGGAUAAGGUGCUCAACUGCUCGCUCAUCAGAUACCAUAAAGGGUGUUGGUUCAUUUUAACAGCAGGACGGUGGUCAUGGAAGUCGAAAUCCGCUAAGGAGUGUGUAACAACUCACCUGCCGAAUGGACUAGCCCCGAAAAUGGAUGGCGCUUAAGCGGGUGACCGAUACCCAACCAUUGUUGCACCUGUGGAGGCAUCAAUGAGUAGGAGGGCGUGGGUGCUUGUGAUGAAGCCUGUGGCGCAAGCCUGGGUGAAAUGGCUCCUAGUGCAGAUCUUGGUGGUAGUAGC
Molecule: ribosomal RNA, 1564 nt
Filed under: Polykrikos schwartzii
Lineage: Eukaryota; Dinophyceae; Gymnodiniales; Gymnodiniaceae
Description: partial large subunit ribosomal RNA
Rfam family: Eukaryotic large subunit ribosomal RNA
Source: RNAcentral